This 506-nucleotide ribosomal RNA is filed under the name uncultured bacterium. Its description in RNAcentral is "partial 16S ribosomal RNA". It matches the Rfam family "Bacterial small subunit ribosomal RNA", at positions 29 to 523 of the family's 1533-position model. The record is from RNAcentral.
AUUGAACGCUGGCGGCAGGCCUAACACAUGCAAGUCGGACGGUAGCACAGAGGAGCUUGCUCCUUGGGUGACGAGUGGCGGACGGGUGAGUAAUGUCUGGGGAUCUGCCCGAUAGAGGGGGAUAACCACUGGAAACGGUGGCUAAUACCCCAUAACGUCGCAAGACCAAAGAGGGGGACCUUCGGGCCUCUCACUAUCGGAUGAACCCAGAUGGGAUUAGGUAGUAGGCGGGGUAAUGGCCCACCUAGGCGACGAUCCCUAGCUGGUCUGAGAGGAUGACCAGCCACACUGGAACUGAGACACGGUCCAGAAUCCUACGGGAGGCAGCAGUGGGGAAUAUUGCACAAUGGGCGCAAGCCUGAUGCAGCCAUGCCGCGUGUAUGAAGAAGGCCUUCGGGUUGUAAAGUACUUUCAGCGGGGAGGAAGGCGGUGAGGUUAAUAACCUCGCCGAUUGACGUUACCCGCAGAAGAAGCACCGGCUAACUCCGUGCCAGCCGCCGCAGUAA